This 449-nucleotide ribosomal RNA is filed under the name uncultured bacterium. RNAcentral describes it as "partial 16S ribosomal RNA". It matches the Rfam family "Bacterial small subunit ribosomal RNA", at positions 29 to 523 of the family's 1533-position model. The record is from RNAcentral.
AACGAACGCUGGCGGCAUGCCUAACACAUGCAAGUCGAACGAAGCCUUCGGGCUUAGUGGCGCACGGGUGCGUAACGCGUGGGAAUCUGCCCUUAGGUACGGAAUAACUCAGGGAAACUUGUGCUAAUACCGUAUGAUGUCGAAAGACCAAAGAUUUAUCGCCUAGGGAUGAGCCCGCGUUGGAUUAGCUAGUUGGUGAGGUAAAGGCUCACCAAGGCGACGAUCCAUAGCUGGUCUGAGAGGAUGAUCAGCCACACUGGGACUGAGACACGGCCCAGACUCCUACGGGAGGCAGCAGUGGGGAAUAUUGGACAAUGGGCGAAAGCCUGAUCCAGCAAUGCCGCGUGAGUGAAGAAGGCCUUCGGGUUGUAAAGCUCUUUUACCCGGGAAGAUAAUGACUGUACCGGGAGAAUAAGGACCGGCCAACUACGUGCCAGCAGCCGCCGUAA